RNAcentral lists this ribosomal RNA (505 nucleotides) under uncultured bacterium. RNAcentral's name for it is "bacterial SSU rRNA". It matches the Rfam family "Bacterial small subunit ribosomal RNA", at positions 28 to 507 of the family's 1533-position model. The record is from RNAcentral.
GACGAACGCUGGCGGCGUGCCUAAUACAUGCAAGUGGAACGCAGUUGAUUCACCGGAGCUUGCUCCAUCGAAUUAACUGAGUCGCGAACGGGUGAGUAACGCGUAGGUAACCUGUCUUUUAGCGGGGGAUAACUAUUGGAAACGAUAGCUAAUACCGCAUAAGAGUGUUUAACACAUGUUAGAGAUUUAAAAGAUACAACUGUAUCACUAAGAGAUGGACCUGCGUUGUAUUAGCUAGUUGGUAGGGUAGAGGCCUACCAAGGCGACGAUACAUAGCCGACCUGAGAGGGUGAACGGCCACACUGGGACUGAGACACGGCCCAGACUCCUACGGGAGGCAGCAGUAGGGAAUCUUCGGCAAUGGGGGGAACCCUGACCGAGCAACGCCGCGUGAGUGAAGAAGGUUUUCGGAUCGUAAAGCUCUGUUGUCAGAGACGAACGUAUGUGAGAGUGGAAAGUUCACAUAGUGACGGUAACUGACCAGAAAGGGACGGCUAACUACGUG